GAUGAACGCUGGCGGCGUGCCUAAUACAUGCAAGUCGAGCGAACAGACGAGGAUCUUGCUCCUCUGACGUUAGCGGCGGACGGGUGAGUAACACGUGGAUAACCUACCUAUAAGACUGGGAUAACGUCGGGAAACCGGAGCUAAUACCGGAUAAUAUAUUGAACCGCAUGGUUCUAUAGUGAAAGACGGGUUUGCUGUCACUUAUAGAUGGAUCCGCGCCGCAUUAGCUAGUUGGUAAGGUAACGGCUUACCAAGGCAACGAUGCGUAGCCGACGUGAGCGGGUGAUCGCCCGCACUGGAACGGAGACACGGUCAAGGCUACUACGGGAGGCAGCAGUAGGCAACGUGCCGCAGCGGGGGAAAGCUUGACGGAGCAACGGCGCGUGAGUGAUGAAGGUGCCCGGAUCGUAAAGCCCUGUUAUGGGUGAUGAACAACUGUGUAAGGAAAUAAGGCGGUCUUGACGGUACCUACACAGAAAGCACCGGCUAACUACGUG
This 497-nucleotide ribosomal RNA is filed under the name uncultured bacterium. RNAcentral describes it as "partial 16S ribosomal RNA". It matches the Rfam family "Bacterial small subunit ribosomal RNA", at positions 28 to 507 of the family's 1533-position model. The record is from RNAcentral.